GUUCGAUUAGCUCAGCUGGUUAGAGCGUCCGACUGUUAAUCGGGAGGUCGACAGUUCAAGCCUGUCAUUGAACG
Molecule: transfer RNA, 74 nt
Filed under: Cyphobasidiales sp. Tagirdzhanova-0007
Lineage: Eukaryota; Fungi; Basidiomycota; Cystobasidiomycetes; Cyphobasidiales
Description: tRNA-Asn
Rfam family: tRNA
About the family: Transfer RNA (tRNA) molecules are approximately 80 nucleotides in length. Their secondary structure includes four short double-helical elements and three loops (D, anti-codon, and T loops).
Source: RNAcentral